GUCUGGGUGAGGAGGCAGUGCUGGCCCUGCUGGAGCAUCACUGGUGUCCCCUCACCAGACACAGACUCCAGGACAGCAGGAAGACUUGGACCAAACCACUUGAGGAUGCAUUAAGAAAACCUGCAAUGUAGCUCCUCGACCAAGGAUUGUCAGCCAGUCGUUGCAUCCCUGUGUGGGGAGGAAGGUGAGCAGAGAUUUGCACACAGAGACAUCCUCUGCCUCGGCUGCUUGCCCAGAUUUCCAAUUUGGGCUGCAUGCAUGCAUCCCACCAUGUGAUGCUGGCCUUUUUGCCUGGCACACACAGUCCCAGGCUGGCACAGAACCAGGUGGAACUUGGAGAGGUUGCAAGCCCAGAAGGUUUGUCUUUGAAUACAGUUUUGCUGAAUGGAGUGUUGAGAGUGAAGGAUGAAACAAGCCUUGCUCCUGGGAGAGUUUUCUUAUGGCCUCUGUUCCCUCAAGAGCCACCCAAGCUGGAGUUUCAGAGUGGUUAUUACAAUCACGGCCUCCUCGUGUCACCGCAUGAUGAAAUUAGUGUGGCAUUUUGUGGUGGGUUUUCCUUUGUCUUUUGUUUUGAAAACAUUUGAUCUGUUUUUUAAAAACAAAAAUCCCCAUGGGUUUUCCAACUCCCCCAGAAAUGCCAAGCCCAUCAUUUGGAGUCCUUUUUCUGCUCUCAGUUUGAAGCUCACCUGACAGCCUGCAUUUGCAUGCAGGUGUUCCAUUACACCGAAUUUGUUCCAAUGCACUGCAACCGUUUCCAUACUGUAAAAUUAGGCAGUUUAAUGAAAAAGGCGCUUUUAGAAAAAAACAAUCACAUCACUCAGGUGCUCAGUGUGUGUGCUCCGACCUCCUGCUGGCCUCCGCAAGAGCCAUUCCCCUCCUGGCAUUGUGCAGAGCCACCCAGAUCCCCUCCUGUCCUUUCUUCCUUGUUGUCAGCAGUAACAGUGACAGCCAGACAGGGUUAGAAAUGGCCUUUAGCUGAUGUUUGCCCUCUACGCUCUGGCCAAAAUACAGCUCAUCCCAUAUAAUGUAUAAUCGAUAGGUGAUUAGAAAAACAAAACAAAACAAAACAAAAAACAAACAAAUAAAAAAAAAAAACAAAAACA
RNAcentral lists this long non-coding RNA (1103 nucleotides) under Numida meleagris (helmeted guineafowl). RNAcentral describes it as "lncRNA (ENSNMEG00000016298.1)". The record is from RNAcentral. Lineage: Eukaryota; Metazoa; Chordata; Aves; Galliformes; Numididae.